This 253-nucleotide ribosomal RNA is filed under the name uncultured bacterium. Its description in RNAcentral is "partial 16S ribosomal RNA". It matches the Rfam family "Bacterial small subunit ribosomal RNA", at positions 524 to 776 of the family's 1533-position model. The record is from RNAcentral.
UGCGUAGGGGGCUAGCGUUGUCCGGAAUCAUUGGGCGUAAAGAGCGUGUAGGCGGCCAGGUAGGUCUGCUGUGAAAACUCGAGGCUCAACCUCGAGCUGUCGGCGGAAACCAUCUGGCUAGAGUCCGGAAGAGGAGAGUGGAAUUCCUGGUGUAGCGGUGAAAUGCGCAGAUAUCAGGAAGAACACCCGUGGCGAAGGCGGCUCUCUGGGACGGUACUGACGCUGAGACGCGAAAGCGUGGGGAGCGAACAGG